AGAGUUUGAUCCUGGCUCAGGACGAACGCUGGCGGCGUGCCUAACACAUGCAAGUCGAACGGGACCAGGGGCAACUCUGGUUCAGUGGCGGACGGGUGCGUAACACGUGAGGAACAUGACCUUCGGCGGGGGAUAGCCGGCCCAACGGCCGGGUAAUACCGCGUACGACCUUUCGGGGACAUCCCUGGAUGGUGAAAGCAGCAAUGCGCCGAUGGAGUGCCUCGCGGCCUAUCAGCUAGUUGGUGGGGUAACGGCUCACCAAGGCAACGACGGGUAGCUGGUCUGAGAGGAUGGCCAGCCACAUUGGGACUGAGACACGGCCCAGACUCCUACGGGAGGCAGCAGUGGGGAAUAUUGCGCAAUGGACGAAAGUCUGACGCAGCGACGCCGCGUGUGGGAUGACGGUCUUCGGAUUGUAAACCACUGUCGGGAGGGACGAAUACGCCGCAAGGCGGGUGACGGUACCUCCAAAGGAAGCACCGGCUAACUCCGUGCCAGCAGCCGCGGUAAUACGGAGGGUGCGAGCGUUGUCCGGAAUCACUGGGCGUAAAGGGCGCGUAGGCGGCCUGAUAAGUAGGGGGUGAAAUCCUGCGGCUUAACCGCAGGGCUGCCUUCUAAACUGUCAGGCUUGAGCACAGUAGAGGCAGGUGGAAUUCCCGGUGUAGCGGUGGAAUGCGUAGAGAUCGGGAAGAACAUCAGUGGCGAAGGCGGCCUGCUGGGCUGUUGCUGACGCUGAGGCGCGACAGCGUGGGGAGCAAACAGGAUUAGAUACCCCCGUAGUCC
Molecule: ribosomal RNA, 783 nt
Filed under: uncultured Gemmatimonas sp.
Lineage: Bacteria; Pseudomonadati; Gemmatimonadota; Gemmatimonadia; Gemmatimonadales; Gemmatimonadaceae
Description: bacterial SSU rRNA
Rfam family: Bacterial small subunit ribosomal RNA
Source: RNAcentral